GAUGAACGCUGGCGGCGUGCCUAAUACAUGCAAGUCGAGCGAACGGACGAGAAGCUUGCUUCUCUGAUGUUAGCGGCGGACGGGUGAGUAACACGUGGAUAACCUACCUAUAAGACUGGGAUAACUUCGGGAAACCGGAGCUAAUACCGGAUAAUAUUUUGAACCGCAUGGUUCAAAAGUGAAAGACGGUCUUGCUGUCACUUAUAGAUGGAUCCGCGCUGCAUUAGCUAGUUGGUCAGGUAACGGCUUACCAAGGCAACGAUGCAUAGCCGACCUGAGAGGGUGAUCGGCCACACUGGAACUGAGACACGGUCCAGACUCCUACGGGAGGCAGCAGUAGGGAAUCUUCCGCAAUGGGCGAAAGCCUGACGGAGCAACGCCGCGUGAGUGAUGAAGGUCUUCGGAUCGUAAAACUCUGUUAUUAGGGAAGAACAUAUGUGUAAGUAACUGUGCACAUCUUGACGGUACCUAAUCAGAAAGCCACGGCUAACUACGUGCCAGCAGCCGCGGUAAUACGUAGGUGGCAAGCGUUAUCCGGAAUUAUUGGGCGUAAAGCGCGCGUAGGCGGUUUUUUAAGUCUGAUGUGAAAGCCCACGGCUCAACCGUGGAGGGUCAUUGGAAACUGGAAAACUUGAGUGCAGAAGAGGAAAGUGGAAUUCCAUGUGUAGCGGUGAAAUGCGCAGAGAUAUGGAGGAACACCAGUGGCGAAGGCGACUUUCUGGUCUGUAACUGACGCUGAUGUGCGAAAGCGUGGGGAUCAAACAGGAUUAGAUACCCUGGUAGUCCACGCCGUAAACGAUGAGUGCUAAGUGUUAGGGGGUUUCCGCCCCUUAGUGCUGCAGCUAACGCAUUAAGCACUCCGCCUGGGGAGUACGACCGCAAGGUUGAAACUCAAAGGAAUUGACGGGGACCCGCACAAGCGGUGGAGCAUGUGGUUUAAUUCGAAGCAACGCGAAGAACCUUACCAAAUCUUGACAUCCUUUGACAACUCUAGAGAUAGAGCUUUCCCCUUCGGGGGACAAAGUGACAGGUGGUGCAUGGUUGUCGUCAGCUCGUGUCGUGAGAUGUUGGGUUAAGUCCCGCAACGAGCGCAACCCUUAAGCUUAGUUGCCAUCAUUAAGUUGGGCACUCUAAGUUGACUGCCGGUGACAAACCGGAGGAAGGUGGGGAUGACGUCAAAUCAUCAUGCCCCUUAUGAUUUGGGCUACACACGUGCUACAAUGGACAAUACAAAGGGCAGCGAAACCGCGAGGUCAAGCAAAUCCCAUAAAGUUGUUCUCAGUUCGGAUUGUAGUCUGCAACUCGACUACAUGAAGCUGGAAUCGCUAGUAAUCGUAGAUCAGCAUGCUACGGUGAAUACGUUCCCGGGUCU
RNAcentral lists this ribosomal RNA (1372 nucleotides) under uncultured bacterium. Its description in RNAcentral is "bacterial SSU rRNA". It matches the Rfam family "Bacterial small subunit ribosomal RNA", at positions 28 to 1381 of the family's 1533-position model. The record is from RNAcentral.